AGUGGCAGACGGGUGAGUAAUGUAUAGGAAUCUACCUAGUAGUACGGAAUAAUUGUUGGAAACGGCAACUAAUACCGUAUACGCCCUACGGGGGAAAGAUUUAUCGCUAUUAGAUGAGCCUAUAUUAGAUUAGCUAGUUGGUAAGGUAAUGGCUUACCAAGGCAAUGAUCUAUAGCUGAUCUGAGAGGGUGAUCAGCCACACUGGAACUGAGAUACGGUCCAGACUCCUACGGGAGGCAGCAGUGGGGAAUAUUGGACAAUGGGCGAAAGCCUGAUCCAGCCAUGCCGCAUGAGUGAAGAAGGCCUUUGGGUUGUAAAGCUCUUUCGGUGAGGAAGAUAAUGACGGUACUCACAGAAGAAGUCCUGGCUAACUCCGUGCCAGCAGCCGCGGUAAUACGGAGAGGGCUAGCGUUAUUCGGAAUUAUUGGGCGUAAAGAGCGCGUANGCUGGUUAGUAAGUUAAAAGUGAAAUCCCAAAGCUCAACUUUGGAAUUGCUUUUAAAACUGCUAACCUAGAGAUUGAAAGAGGAUAGAGGAAUUCCUAGUGUGNAGGUGAAAUUCGUAAAUAUUANGAGGAACACCAGUGGCG
RNAcentral lists this ribosomal RNA (588 nucleotides) under uncultured Wolbachia sp. Its description in RNAcentral is "bacterial SSU rRNA". It matches the Rfam family "Bacterial small subunit ribosomal RNA", at positions 94 to 717 of the family's 1533-position model. Lineage: Bacteria; Pseudomonadati; Pseudomonadota; Alphaproteobacteria; Rickettsiales; Anaplasmataceae. The record is from RNAcentral.